UACUUGGAGAGAGGUGGUCCGUGGCGCGUUCGCUUUAUUUAUGGCGCACAUUACACGGUCGACCUCUUUGCAGUAUCU
Molecule: microRNA precursor, 78 nt
Filed under: Eptesicus fuscus (big brown bat)
Lineage: Eukaryota; Metazoa; Chordata; Mammalia; Chiroptera; Vespertilionidae
Source: RNAcentral